CCUACGGGAGGCUGCAGUCGAGAAUCAUUCACAAUGGGGGAAACCCUGAUGGUGCGACGCCGCGUGGGGGAAUGAAGGUCUUCGGAUUGUAAACCCCUGUCAUGUGGGAGCAAAUUAAAAAGAUAGUACCACAAGAGGAAGAGACGGCUAACUCGGUGCCAGCAGCCGCGGUAAUACAGAGGUCUCAAGCGUUGUUCGGAAUCACUGGGCGUAAAGCGUGCGUAGGCUGUUUCGUAAGUCGUGUGUGAAAGGCGCGGGCUCAACCCGCGGACGGCACAUGAUACUGGGAGACUAGAGUAAGGGAGGGGGAACCGGAAUGCUCGGUGUAGCAGUGAAAUGCGUAGAUAUCGAGAGGAACACUCGUGGCGAAGGCGGGUUCCUGGACAUUAACUGACGCUGAGGCACGAAGGCCAGGGGAGCGAAAGGGAUUAGAUACCCUGGUAGUC
Molecule: ribosomal RNA, 446 nt
Filed under: uncultured bacterium
Lineage: Bacteria
Description: partial 16S ribosomal RNA
Rfam family: Bacterial small subunit ribosomal RNA
Source: RNAcentral